UUAAAUAACUCUAGAGAACACGAGUCAGCAUUUAGCAAAUAAAAGAUGGUUACAUCACAACUUUUUCACUAAUCUGGCUAUGAAAAUAACAAAGAAACCAGAUACUCUUUCCAUAGUUGCAUCAAUAGAGCAUCACAAGGUGUAAUGGAUGAAAGAAAGAUGAGACAUAUGGAUAGGCCUAAGACUUAAAAGAAAUGGCACAAUUACAAUUUUGUUAGCAUCGAAUACAUGGAAAGGCUCACCAUGUCUGAAACCUGAAUGGUACACUCAAUGAAACGUGAUCACAAACUCCCCAAAUUUCUUGGUGAUGCAAGAUUUCUUCAGCUGACAAGAUAUCUUGAUAGUUAAUGCUGCAAAGUCGUUGAAUUAGAUUAGACUAAAUAGAAUGUUCAGUCUGCGGCAUAUUGGAAAGUGUAGGAAGUGGAAAUAGGACAAAAAUACUAGAAAUCAUGCACAUGUACAAGUAAUGGCCUUCCACUUCUUAGGCAAACAUACUUUCCUAAGCUUUCUCUAAUUCUCUACUUGGUGUCAUAUUUAAUUCAUCUAUAUCCCACAACAUUGAUGUACUGCACAAAAUCAAAUGAAAACGUUCAAAUGGACAUUAGGGUCUCCUUCGUCGACGCUUCAUCUCACAUUGAAAGACAAUUACAAAUAAACCUUACUAUCUAAGAAGAUACCCUUUAUAUUCUCUUUCGGGUAACCAAAACAAUUGCAGCUCAUAGUUCAAAUAAAUACACCCUUGUUCAGAUGUGUUAUUCAUAGAUUGUUAUCAUGUAUCUACCGAGGCCUUCAUGGAUAGACCUAUCUAGCCAGCAUACUGAGGCAUAUAAACAAAAUAUACUGUAUCAUAUUAUAUCCUCGACCAUACCUAGCUUGCUGACACAAAUAUUCCGUAGUUCUAUUUGAGUCAUUUUAGCAUCCGCAAUUUUCUUCUGCUCUUUCUUCUGAUAAAAUAUCAAAAUAGCCUAUUCACAUCAUCCUGGCCAUUAACAUCAGAACCAGCAUCUUCAAUAAAUUUCCGAAGUUGCAAUACACUGUCUAGAAGCUGCUGGGGUGAGAAGGAACCAUAUAAAUAUAAUUUUUUGGUAAGAUAAAAGAACUCUUUGAGGUCUAUCAUGUGCAUUCAGAAAGAAAAAAACAAGGUAUUGCUUACUAAUAUAAAAGAGACCUGGAUACAUACACCUUGGAUUCUUCUAAGUCUCAGCAGAGGCAUGCUUGCUUGCAUUUGAGAUACAAGGAAUAAAAAGUCAUUCAGAAAGGACACCGCCUACUUCCGGUUAUGAAGUUUUCGAACUAUGUCUCCAGCCCAUUAAGCUUUCUUUGCAAGGGUGGUCUGAAUUAUCAGCGGUGUGCUUUCUACAGUCUUAGAUCCUGCAAAAUAAUAAUUGCAUUGUGAAGGACUGAAGUUUAACUUGGACACAUAGGACGAAGACAUCAGCAAAUCGACCAAUCAAAACUUAGAAGCAAUCAACUACAAGAUUAGAUACACUCAAGCUAGAACGAUACAAAAUUCACCAAGAAAUGAUCUGAGCAUGCCCUCAAUGCCUACCAUCAAUUAAAAAGCAUUAGAACACAAUAUUAAAUACACUCACGGUCAAAAUGAUGGAAAAUGGUUACCAUAAAAAU
Molecule: long non-coding RNA, 1626 nt
Filed under: Triticum aestivum (bread wheat)
Lineage: Eukaryota; Viridiplantae; Streptophyta; Magnoliopsida; Poales; Poaceae
Description: long non-coding RNA (TAES_LNC019904)
Source: RNAcentral